RNAcentral lists this ribosomal RNA (2110 nucleotides) under Disconectes sp. 1 MR-2008. RNAcentral describes it as "SSU rRNA". It matches the Rfam family "Eukaryotic small subunit ribosomal RNA". Lineage: Eukaryota; Metazoa; Arthropoda; Malacostraca; Isopoda; Munnopsidae. The record is from RNAcentral.
GUUCCUAUCUGGUUGAUCCUGCCAGUAGUGAUAUGCUUGUCUCAAAGAUUAAGCCAUGCAUGUCUGAGUACAGACCGAUCUAAGGUGAAACCGCGAAUGGCUCAUUAAAUCAGUCAUAAUUUCUUUGAUAGUGAUAAAAUUCCUCGGAUAACUGUGGAAAAUCCAGAGCUAAUACGUGCAACUGAGCUCCGACCUCGGCGUAAGCCGUGGGAAGAGCGCAUUUAUUAGAUUCAAAACUGACCGGCGUAUUCCUCCGGGAUUCGCCGUUUGUCGUAAGUUUGAUGACUCCGGAUAACUAAGCCGAGCGCUACGGUCCUAGAACCGGCGCCGUAUCUUUCAAGUGUCUGCCUUAUCAGCUUUCGAUUGUAGGUUAAACGCCUACAAUGGCUGUAACGGGUAACGGGGAAUCAGGGUUCGAUUCCGGAGAGGGAGCCUGAGAAACGGCUACCACAUCUAAGGAAGGCAGCAGGCACGCAAAUUACCCACUCCCAGCCCGGGGAGGUAGUGACGAAAAAUAACGAUGCGAGACUCUUCCGAGGCCUCGCAAUCGGAAUGAGUUCAUUUUAAAUACUUGGACGAGGAUCCAUUGGAGGGCAAGUCUGGUGCCAGCAGCCGCGGUAAUUCCAGCUCCAAUAGCGUAUAUUAAAGUUGCUGCGGUUAAAAAGCUCGUAGUUGGACUUCCUAGAUCCAUUUCGCGAGCGGGUCGCUCGUAGAACUAGCGUUGCAUGACAGUUAGCUCGACGAAGAUCGGGUCGGUUCGACGCAUCGUUACUUGUUUUCGUUGCCCGGCUUUCCCUUUCCUAGUCUUGCGUACGGCGUGACGUUGUCUUCGGGUAUCGCUCGUUCGCGUUUGGUACAAUUAAAUUUUGUCGGCUCGCUCGGAGUGCUCUUUACCGAGUGUUCCAGGGUGGCCGACACGUUCACUUUGAAAAAAUUAGAGUGCUUAAAGCGGGCUCAUACGUGGCCUGAAUGUCUGUGCAUGGAAUGAAGUAACAGGACCUCGAUUCUGUUUUUUUUGUCGGUUUUAUUGAACCGAGGUAAUGAUUAAAAGGGACAGACGGUGGCAUUAGUAUUGCGGCGCUAGAGGUGAAAUUCUUGGACCGCUGCAAGACUAACUACUGCGAAAGCAUUUGCCGAGAAUGUUUUCAUUAAUCAAGAACGAAAGUUAGAGGAUCGAAGGCGAUCAGAUACCGCCCUAGUUCUAACCCUAAACUAUGCUAACUAGCGAUCCGCCGGAGUCAUUCCCACGACCCGGCGGGAAGCCCCAGGGAAACCAAAGUCUUUGAGUUCCGGGGGAAGUAUGGUUGCAAAGCUGAAACUUAAAGGAAUUGACGGAAGGGCACCACCAGGAGUGGAGCCUGCGGCUUAAUUUGACUCAACACGGGAAACCUCACCAGGCCCGGACAUCAUUAGGAUUGACAGGUUGAGAGCUCUUUCUCGAUUUGAUGGGUGGUGGUGCAUGGCCGUUCUUAGUUGGUGGAGUGAUCUGUCUGGUUGAUUCCGAUAACGAACGAGACUCUGCCCUACUAACUAGUCGGCGGAUCGUAACCCUGAGAUGGUCGUGUGUAUAGCGAGGUUUGUCCUAGACGUCGUUCGCCCGCGUUGUCGGCUCUUUCGGGAGUGUUUCAGCGUGCGACGGCUUCGUCGAAGCUUCCUCGUGAUUACUACGACUGCUGGGGGCGUCCGUCGCAAUGUAUCUUCUUAGAGGGAUCAGCGGCGUAUAGCCGCACGAGAUAGAGCAAUAACAGGUCUGUGAUGCCCUUAGAUGUUCUGGGCCGCACGCGCGCUACAAUGUAGAGAUCAGCGUGCUCUCCCCCUCCGAAAGGAGCGGGUAACCCGAUGAAACCCCUACCCGAUUGGGAUUGGGGAUUGCAAAUAUUUCCCAUAAACGAGGAAUUCCCAGUAAGCGCGAAUCAUUAAUUCGCGCUGAUUACGUCCCUGCCCUUUGUACACACCGCCCGUCGCUACUACCGAUUGAAUGAUUCAGUGAGGGCAUCGGACUGGCGCCUUCGGUUUAGUAACAUAGACCUUAGGCUGACGGAAAGAUGUCCGAACUUGAUCAUUUAGAGGAAGUAAAAGUCGUAACAAGGUUUCCGUAGGUGAACCUGGG